Solanum pennellii is the source of this 2430-nucleotide RNA transcript. It is a transcript of the gene named N-alpha-acetyltransferase 40, with no coding region annotated. The record is from RefSeq and is a predicted model, not a curated record. The transcript has 5 exons. Lineage: Eukaryota; Viridiplantae; Streptophyta; Magnoliopsida; Solanales; Solanaceae.
AAUGUUGGUAGAAAAUAGAAAUACAUAUAACCUUCCAAAAGAAGUGGGAAGUUCGGAGGAUGUUAUUGUAGACAGCCAUGGAAGCUGAGAAGAGCGCAGAGUCGAACGAGAAAUCGAAGAAUAACAGAGACAAGAAGAUGACAAGGAAAGAGGCAGAUAUUAGAAAAGAAGAAGAAGGUGCAAGAGAUAAUCAAAGCUGCUGUUUCUCAGAAAGACCCUUUUUCUUCCUUCCCAUCUUUUCGCCAUUACAAGAAAAAGGGUUCGUUUUUUUUUAUUUAUUUUGUAUCCAUAAAUUUAUUAUUUGGUGAAUCCAUAAUCUGUUAAAUCCUUCAUAUUCUGUUCUUACCUUUGUAUUAGUGCAAAAAAAACGAGGCCCUUUUACCCUUUUUACACAUAUUCACUCAUCUUCUUUCAUAAAGGGAAGAACUUUAGUCAUUAGGGUUGUGUUCAGUAUCAAGGAAAAUGUUUUCUACGAAAAUAAGUAUUUUCUUAUGUUCGAUGGUCAAGCAAAAAAUAUUAUCCUAAAAGCAUUUUUUAUAGGAUCUACCCGAGUACUAUUGGAGGUGGCAUAGGAGGGGGGACUUUUCCAUACUUCCUUGGGGUUAGAACUUGAGACCUCUAUCUAUCCUAUACCACUACCUUUAUUGGUUAUGUAUAAUGUUGUUUGCUGUUAUACGUUAUUCAAUUUUUGUAUGUGUAAUGUAUAGUUGAUUUGAUCAUUAGAUUUGUCUGUGUACUUGGACUCGGGAUGCGGAGAUAGCCUUUCGUCUCCAAUAAAGCAGUAUAUUCAGAAUCUCCUCAAGGUAUAGGCCUUUUACAGGUGAAUAUGGAGGCAUCAUAUGGAACAGAGUGGCCUGUAGAAGAGAAGGUGAAGCGCAGGGAGAUGGUUUCUUCUGAAGCUCGUUAUAUAUUUGUGUAUGAGAUAUCAAAUGUGGAAGCCAUGCUCAAAUUAUCAAAGAAAGAAAGGUGUAACGCAGACGGUAUGGAUGAUAAAGGUCAUCUUGUGGCUUUUGUACAUUACCGCUUCACCAUCGAGGAAGAAAUUCCUGUUCUUUAUGUGUAUGAAUUACAGCUUGAACAUCGUGUUCAGGGGAAGGGGCUGGGAAAAUUCUUAAUGGUGCUUAUUGAGCUGAUUGCUCAGAAGAGUAAAAUGAGUGCCGUGGUGCUAACAGUUCAGAAGGCAAACAUGAUAGCAAUGAACUUCUAUCGGAAUAAACUAAGGUGAUCUAUUGAUAUGUUAUACUAGCAAUUUGUGUGCAUUUAGCAUAUAUCAUUUACAUGUUUAUGAUGUUGAAAUAUCAAUAUAAUAAGCUUAGGUGACUACAGCUUGAAUAUUAGUGGAUAAUGUUUUACUACUUCUGUAGAGAACUGUUAUAUUUGUCCUCUUUCUUUAUGUAUCCUCCAUGUAGUAAUAAUCAAAUUUACAUACUGUUAUCUGGUUCAACGGUAAUUGGUUCCAUUUGUAUGAUUACCCAAAAGUAAUAUCCUACUUAGUCUAACUAUGUUUGUCAUCUCUUGUCAUAAGAUGUGGCAUAUCAUGCUAGAGUGCAGAAGCUGGCCAAAAAUUAUUGAAGCUACAGGAAAUUUCUGUAUUUUCAACUCUUGGUUAUUGAAAUGAAGAUUAUAUUUAUAUUGAAGAGUUACCAUAGAGCUAUUUAUGUUGUGUAUUGGACAUGCUUAUAUGUGCAUUGGAUGAUUCAACAAUUCAGCUCAAAAUGUUGGAAUUUAACUAUAUCAGGAGAAUUUCUUUUGUAACCUGUCAAAUAUAUACCAUUAACAUGUUACAUAAUCAACUUCCAGUUUACUCCUCAGCCUUUUCCUCUCCGUACUGAAUAACAUAUGCUUAGCUCUAACUUGAAAAGUUUCUUGCAGCAAAUUCUUUUUCAGCUGCUACAUUACUGUCAAGAUAUAUUUGCUUUUGUUCACUUGUUUAUAAUGACUAGCUGUUUCCAAUAGCACUUACCCGUCAACCUCUGCAGGUACCUGAUAUCCACUAUGUCACCCUCACAGGUAGAUCGACAGUCUGCAAUAGUUCAGUUUUCAUCAUAAUUUGCCUAGGCUCUUUAAAUCUUCUUGUUGCUAUUGCAGAUGGGGUUACAGACAAAUUAUGAGCUUCUUUGCAAGUCAUUUGAUUAUGAAGCUAAAGCUGGAUUACAGGAAGGUGAAGAUAAAUGACUGCAAGGUGAUUCGGAGUCCGUUUGUGAAGCAUCUUACAAAGUUUUUGCCUAUGUCAGCUUGACGACGUUGAUACCUGUGAAGAGGUAGCAUAAUGUGAAUUAUUUAAUAGAAAUUGCAGAGUAGUAUCAUGUUUUGGUUUUGUUAUUGAUCUAAGAUUAUUAGGUCUUGAGCAUUUUUGUCAGACAACUACCCAAUGUAUUUGCCAGACAAGUUGUGUUAUCACUACCUUUAUGUGCAUUAUGUUUCUUUUUA